CCAUGGAAACCCCUGGCAGCGCGCCCUGGGCGGGGCCUCCGAGGGGCGGGGUCUGGUGCGCGGCAGGCCCGAGUGCACAACUCCCGCCCGUCGGGCGUACGCGGCGUUUACCUCAGCCCCGCUGCUCGGGGUUUGCCCGAUUCCCGCUCGGCCCUGCACCCCAGCACCCAGGAGCAACAGCCCCAGGAGCAACAGACCCGGGAGCCCGCGCCCCCGCCGUCAUCACUAGCCUGUUUCCCCGCGGAACCCCACCUUCUCCAGGAAGACGGGGCUGGAAGGACGCAUGGAGUGCGGCGGGGCGGACCCUCAGUGACCCGCUCGGGUGGCGAGGCGGCGAGGGCACCAUUGUGACGCGCCCGGCUCCGAGCGGAAAUUGGUCAGCCAAGCGUGUGGGGGAGCCGGGGCCCGCGGAGGGGGGCCGGAGGGGAGCGGUGCGGCAGAGCGUUCCUGAGCCCCUGAAGGGGCAGACUGAAAAGCACCCCAAACAUUGAGCCCAAAAGACGCCUAGAUCGAAGACCACCGUGAGAGGAGAAAAAGGGAGUCAUUUCCUGCCGAGGGAGAAAGGGAACCGAGAACAGCGGAGACAUAAAGGCGGCUCCAAGGGCAGAGUUUGAGGAGCGGGCGCAGGCUGUGCUCCCAGCUCUUGGGUCGCUACUCCGCGUUGUCGCGUAGCUUCACCUGGCUCCCGGUUCCCCCGGAGGGCAGGGCUUUGGCCUCAGGCCUGGUUCUGGGAGACGAAGUGCCGGGGCCGAGAUGUUCAUUGCGGGAGAAACGCGCCAGUUCGAUGUCAUUUGAGUUCCUGCUACAUCCAGGCCACCCGUGUUUUUUGCUCGAAAUGAGACAGACUGAACUUGUCAGCCCUUGGUGCAGCACUAAGAAAAGCAGCUCUGAGAGCCACGGUUGGUAGCCGGCCUGGAUGCCCUCCCUGAUGAACGAGAAACCAUGAAGAAAGGACAAAGGGCAGGAAUAAUUGCAGUAGGUGGUUAUCCCAAUAUUCAGAAGAGGGGGAGCAUGAAGGAAGCCUUGUUAACACUUUUAGGUACAUCCUUGUAGAAAUUUUUAAUGUAUGUAGAUAUAUAUUGCACAUUUGAUGUAAAUACCAAAAUACAUCAUUUUAGGAAAAUGUACACAAGACCACUCUUUUUAAAAAAAAAAAAGAUUUCUGCUAGGAGCGCCU
Leptonychotes weddellii (Weddell seal) is the source of this 1177-nucleotide non-coding RNA. The record is from RefSeq and is a predicted model, not a curated record. NCBI's taxonomy places the organism in Eukaryota, Metazoa, Chordata, Mammalia, Carnivora, Phocidae.